RNAcentral lists this ribosomal RNA (568 nucleotides) under uncultured Lactobacillus sp. RNAcentral describes it as "bacterial SSU rRNA". It matches the Rfam family "Bacterial small subunit ribosomal RNA", at positions 932 to 1502 of the family's 1533-position model. Lineage: Bacteria; Bacillati; Bacillota; Bacilli; Lactobacillales; Lactobacillaceae. The record is from RNAcentral.
GUGGAGCAUGUGGUUUAAUUCGAGCUACGCGAAGAACCUUACCAGGUCUUGACAUACUAUGCAAAUCUAAGAGAUUAGACGUUCCCUUCGGGGACAUGGAUACAGGUGGUGCAUGGUUGUCGUCAGCUCGUGUCGUGAGAUGUUGGGUUAAGUCCCGCAACGAGCGCAACCCUUAUUAUCAGUUGCCAGCAUUAAGUUGGGCACUCUGGUGAGACUGCCGGUGACAAGCCGGAGGAAGGUGGGGAUGACGUCAAAUCAUCAUGCCCCUUAUGACCUGGGCUACACACGUGCUACAAUGGAUGGUACAACGAGUUGCGAACUCGCGAGAGUAAGCUAAUCUCUUAAAGCCAUUCUCAGUUCGGAUUGUAGGCUGCAACUCGCCUACAUGAAGUCGGAAUCGCUAGUAAUCGCGGAUCAGCAUGCCGCGGUGAAUACGUUCCCGGGCCUUGUACACACCGCCCGUCACACCAUGAGAGUUUGUAACACCCAAAGUCGGUGGGGUAACCUUUAGGAACCAGCCGCCUAAGGUGGGACAGAUGAUUAGGGUGAAGUCGUAACAAGGUAACCA